UCUUUGAUGAGUCAUACUAUGUUCUUCUCUGCCGUCUCGUGUUUGUGUGCUGAGGAAUUUGUUAUUUAUUUUAUUUGUUGCUGCUUUUUGGAUUACCUGCAUCACCUCAAUAAAGCUUUCUUUUUGUUUAUGAAGUCUGCUUCAGAAGCUUGAAUUGGUCUACAACCUACAACCCUUGAUGCCAGUGGUCACCAGUAAAACUGACGUUUAUUCACCAUUCUUUUGUAGAUUUGCUGGUGUUGGGAUCUGUAUGCAUCCGUAUGGGACUGGGAUCAUUGUCUUGUUGCAUGACCCAGUUUUGGCCAAGCUGUAGCUGUCGGACAGAUGGCCUCACAUUGCUUUGAUAUACAGAGGAGUUCAUGGGCGACUUAAUGUGUGCAAGGUGCUCAGGUUCUGUGGCUCGUAAGGAAGACCAAAUCACCAUCCCUCUACUAUGGUUGAGUCGAUAUGAGGUCUUUGUGCAUUAUGCCCAAACAUCUCAACUUCGGAGAAAUACACUGUUGCAAAUUAAAGCUGUACUGCAAUGUUCUUUUCAAAGAGAAGAAUCUUUCUUCUGACAACAUUUCCAAACAAGCCAUACUUUUCAGUCUUUUUCUGAUUGUAAUGUCAUGAACUUUAACAUUUAAUAUGCUAACUAAUGCCUGGAGAGUCUGAGAUGGAGCUCUGAAGGUUUUUUGCAAUUUCUCAGAGCAUUGCACAAUCUGACCUUUGGCUAAAUUUGCAUGCACA
Molecule: long non-coding RNA, 729 nt
Organism: Oreochromis niloticus (Nile tilapia)
Lineage: Eukaryota; Metazoa; Chordata; Actinopteri; Cichliformes; Cichlidae
Exons: 2
Source: RefSeq, a predicted model, not a curated record